AACGAACGCUGGCGGCAUGCCUAACACAUGCAAGUCGAACGAGACCUUCGGGUCUAGUGGCGCACGGGUGCGUAACGCGGGGGAACCUGCCCUUAGGUUCGGAAUAAAUCAGAGAAAUUUGAGCUAAUACCGGAUGAUGUCUUCGGACCAAAGAUUUAUCGCCCUUAGAUGGGCCCGCGUUGGAUUAGCUAGUUGGUGGGGUAAAGGCCUACCAAGGCGACGCUCCAUAGCUGGUCAGAGAGGAUGAUCAGCCACACUGGGACUGAGACACGGCCCAGACUCCUACGGGACGCAGCAGUGGGGAAUUUUGGACAAUGGGCGAAAGCCUGAUCCAGCAAUGCCGCGUGAGUGAUGAAGGCCUUAGGGUUGUAAAGCUCCUUUACCCGAGAUGAUAAUGACAGUAUCGGGAGAAUAAGCUCCGGCUAACUCCGUG
This 433-nucleotide ribosomal RNA is filed under the name uncultured bacterium. Its description in RNAcentral is "partial 16S ribosomal RNA". It matches the Rfam family "Bacterial small subunit ribosomal RNA", at positions 29 to 507 of the family's 1533-position model. The record is from RNAcentral.